This 229-nucleotide ribosomal RNA is filed under the name uncultured bacterium. Its description in RNAcentral is "partial 16S ribosomal RNA". It matches the Rfam family "Bacterial small subunit ribosomal RNA", at positions 91 to 334 of the family's 1533-position model. The record is from RNAcentral.
UAAAGUGGCGCACGGGUGAGUAACACGUGACUAACCUACCCUUGAGUGGGGGAUAACCUCGGGAAACCGUGGCUAAUACCGCAUAAUAUCGAGAGAUCAAAGGAGCAAUUCGCUUAAGGAGGGGGUCGCGGCUGAUUAGCUAGUUGGUGAGGUAAUGGCUCACCAAGGCGAUGAUCAGUAUCCGGCCUGAGAGGGCGCACGGACACACUGGAACUGAAACACGGUCCAG